AUCAUCUUCCUAGUCAAGUAAGAAAGCACAAACCUGGGUUUAUUAGAGAACUACAUGCCCCUACCAGCACUCUCAUCCUUCGUUUAUAAAUACUAUACAGCAUAUCUACGUAUAUGGAACAGCAAAGUACAGAAAAAGGGGAUAGCAGAUGGGGUGCCUGAAUCAUUUUGGUGUAUCAUACAGAUUGGAUGUCCAACUACUAAUCAUAUUAGAAUGGUGAGAACAUACAUGGAUAAAGAUAUACAAGGGACUCUGGUUUAUCAACACAUUGACUCACAAGAAAUUGAGCAUCAUUGGGUCUCCACCUCCC
This 310-nucleotide long non-coding RNA is filed under the name Populus tremula. RNAcentral's name for it is "long non-coding RNA (PTRE_LNC001845)". Lineage: Eukaryota; Viridiplantae; Streptophyta; Magnoliopsida; Malpighiales; Salicaceae. The record is from RNAcentral.